CCUACGGGAGGCUGCAGUGAGGAAUAUUGGUCAAUGGACGAGAGUCUGAACCAGCCAAGUAGCGUGAAGGAUGACUGCCCUAUGGGUUGUAAACUUCUUUUAUAUGGGAAUAAAACAGGGUAUGCAUACCCUCUUGUAUGUACCAUAUGAAUAAGGAUCGGCUAACUCCGUGCCAGCAGCCGCGGUAAUACGGAGGGUCCGAGCGUUAUCCGGAUUUAUUGGGUUUAAAGGGAGCGUAGGUGGAUUGGUAAGUCAGUUGUGAAAGUUUGGGGCUCAACCGUAAAAUUGCAGUUGAAACUGGCAGUCGUGAGUACAGUAGAGGUGGGCGGAAUUCGUGGUGUAGCGGUGAAAUGCUUAGAUAUCACGAAGAACUCCGAUUGCGAAGGCAGCUCACUGGACUGCAACUGACACUGAUGCUCGAAAGUGUGGGUAUCAAACAGGAUUAGAUACCCCAGUAGUC
RNAcentral lists this ribosomal RNA (460 nucleotides) under uncultured bacterium. RNAcentral describes it as "partial 16S ribosomal RNA". It matches the Rfam family "Bacterial small subunit ribosomal RNA", at positions 338 to 795 of the family's 1533-position model. The record is from RNAcentral.